GGUGAUGUGGCCGAGUGGUUAGGCGCUACCAAGUUUGAUAGAGGCAGUCCCGACUCCCCAGCAGCCGCAGCAGUUCCCGACUCCCCAGCAUCAGACGCACGCGGUAGUAACCCGGGUUCGAACCCCGGCAUCGCCA
This is a non-coding RNA of Emericellopsis atlantica, 136 nucleotides long. NCBI's taxonomy places the organism in Eukaryota, Fungi, Ascomycota, Sordariomycetes, Hypocreales, Bionectriaceae. The record is from the annotation of a RefSeq genome assembly.